GACGAACGCUGCGGCGUGCUUAACACAUGCAAGUCGAACGAAGAGCGAUGGAAGCUUGCUUCUAUCAAUCUUAGUGGCGAACGGGUGAGUAACGCGUAAUCAACCUGCCCUUCAGAGGGGGACAACAGUUGGAAACGACUGCUAAUACCGCAUACGAUCUAAUCUCGGCAUCGAGGAUAGAUGAAAGGUGGCCUCUACAUGUAAGCUAUCACUGAAGGAGGGGAUUGCGUCUGAUUAGCUAGUUGGAGGGGUAACGGCCCACCAAGGCGAUGAUCAGUAGCCGGUCUGAGAGGAUGAACGGCCACAUUGGGACUGAGACACGGCCCAGACUCCUACGGGAGGCAGCAGUGGGGAAUCUUCCGCAAUGGACGAAAGUCUGACGGAGCAACGCCGCGUGAGUGAUGACGGCCUUCGGGUUGUAAAGCUCUGUUAAUCGGGACGAAAGGCCUUCUUGCGAAUAGUAGAAGGAUUGACGGUACUGGAAUAGAAAGCC
RNAcentral lists this ribosomal RNA (493 nucleotides) under Veillonella parvula. RNAcentral's name for it is "bacterial SSU rRNA". It matches the Rfam family "Bacterial small subunit ribosomal RNA", at positions 28 to 492 of the family's 1533-position model. The record is from RNAcentral. Lineage: Bacteria; Bacillati; Bacillota; Negativicutes; Veillonellales; Veillonellaceae.